RNAcentral lists this long non-coding RNA (315 nucleotides) under Vulpes vulpes (red fox). Its description in RNAcentral is "lncRNA (ENSVVUG00000019399.1)". Lineage: Eukaryota; Metazoa; Chordata; Mammalia; Carnivora; Canidae. The record is from RNAcentral.
CUGCUUUUCACUGCCCUGACAGGAACUGCAUGCAGAUUCCUUAUUCAAAGAAAUAGAGCUAAGAAUAUUUUCUUUUGGAGUUAAAAAGUAGAUCCUGGAGAGGUGCUUGGCUGGCUCAUUUGGUGGAGCAUGAAACUCUUGAUCUUAGCCAAUGGAUAUCAACUUGGUGAAUCUAUAUGGUGGAGAAAUGCUAGCUACGGAUUAAUCACUGGGAGCAGACUGAAAUAUUCCAAGAGGAAAACAAACACGGAUGUUAUCAGACAUUAUUCAGGCGUGUUCUUGUUAAGAGCUUGUUCAGAGUGGGAACACUGGUAG